CGAUGAAGCCACACGACAUUGCUGGGUGGAUUAGUGGCGAACGGGUGAGUAACACGUGGGUGAUCUGCCCUGCACUUCGGGAUAAGCCUGGGAAACUGGGUCUAAUACCGGAUAGGACCUCGGGAUGCAUGUUCCGGGGUGGAAAGGUUUUCCGGUGCAGGAUGGGCCCGCGGCCUAUCAGCUUGUUGGUGGGGUAACGGCCCACCAAGGCGACGACGGGUAGCCGGCCUGAGAGGGCGACCGGCCACACUGGGACUGAGACACGGCCCAGACUCCUACGGGAGGCAGCAGUGGGGAAUAUUGCACAAUGGGCGCAAGCCUGAUGCAGCGACGCCGCGUGAGGGAUGACGGCCUUCGGGUUGUAAACCUCUUUCAGUACCGACGAAGCGCGAGUGACGGUAGGUACAGAAGAAGCACCGGCCAACUACGUGCCAGCAGCCGCGGUAAUACGUAGGGUGCGAGCGUUGUCCGGAAUUACUGGGCGUAAAGAGCUCGUAGGCGGUUUGUCGCGUCGUCUGUGAAAACCCGCAGCUCAACUGCGGGCUUGCAGGCGAUACGGGCAGACUUGAGUACUGCAGGGGAGACUGGAAUUCCUGGUGUAGCGGUGAAAUGCGCAGAUAUCAGGAGGAACACCGGUGGCGAAGGCGGGUCUCUGGGCAGUAACUGACGCUGAGGAGCGAAAGCGUGGGUAGCGAACAGGAUUAGAUACCCUGGUAGUCCACGCCGUAAACGGUGGGCGCUAGGUGUGGGUUUCCUUCCACGGGAUCCGUGCCGUAGCUAACGCAUUAAGCGCCCCGCCUGGGGGAGUACGGCCGCAAGGCUAAAACUCAAAGGAAUUUGACGGGGGCCCGCACAAGCGGCGGAGCAUGUGGAUUAAUUCGAUGCAACGCGAAGAACCUUAACCUGGGGUUUGACAUACACCGGACCGCCCAGAAAGAUGGGGUUUCCCUUGGGGUCGGUGGUACAGGGUGGUGCAUGGUUGUCGUCAGCUCGUGUCGUGGAAAUGUUUGGGGUUAAGUCCCCGCAACGAGGGGCAACCCUUGGUCCUGGGGUUGCCAGCAAAUUUCGGUUGGGGGACUUCCAAGGAAAAUU
Molecule: ribosomal RNA, 1092 nt
Filed under: Rhodococcus aetherivorans
Lineage: Bacteria; Bacillati; Actinomycetota; Actinomycetes; Mycobacteriales; Nocardiaceae
Description: bacterial SSU rRNA
Rfam family: Bacterial small subunit ribosomal RNA
Source: RNAcentral